UACGAAGGGGGCUAGCGUUGCUCGGAUUUACUGGGCGUAAAGGGCGCGUAGGCGGACAGUUUAGUCAGAGGUGAAAGCCCAGGGCUCAACCUUGGAAUUGCCUUUGAUACUGGCUGUCUUGAGUACGGGAGAGGUGAGUGGAACUCCGAGUGUAGAGGUGAAAUUCGUAGAUAUUCGGAAGAACACCAGUGGCGAAGGCGACUCACUGGCCCGGUACUGACGCUGAGGUGCGAAAGCGUGGGGAGCAAACAGG
This 253-nucleotide ribosomal RNA is filed under the name uncultured bacterium. RNAcentral describes it as "partial 16S ribosomal RNA". It matches the Rfam family "Bacterial small subunit ribosomal RNA", at positions 524 to 776 of the family's 1533-position model. The record is from RNAcentral.